CACGUCCAGAAGCCGGCGAUGUGGGGGCAACUGAGGCAGGGGCCACGGCCCAGCCAGUCGAGCAGAACUGGAAGGAUCACAGCCCAGCCCCGGCUCGGAAUGGCCCCUCGGCAACCACCCUGAGUUACCGACAAAAUGCCGACGGACUGUUUCAAACUUGUAUUCUCUUAAGCACGUUGGGAGAGUAUGUUUCUGUGGUUUAGAACGCUUACUAUCAAAAGAGCAUUUUGAACAUAAUUUUGUCCCUUAAAGAGGUAAGCUUCAAUUACUUGAGAACUUCAUGGAAGCCUCGCAUUUUGCAGCAAUGCCGGGUCCGUGCGUACCAUCGUCUGUCCUGGUUGUGUCUCUGUGUUCUCCAUGUGAGAGGGCGGGGAGGGCCGACCAGGGCUGUUGAGGCUCAGGUUCCUCGCGAACUCUGCAGGGACUCCUGGGCACGCCACUCCCCUUUUGCCCCCCAUGGCAUUUAUCUGUAAAGUAAGAGUUCUGCUGGGUUAAAUGGCGCCACCUCCAAAAGAUAUGUCCAACAGGAACAUCAGAGUGUGCCCCUAGUUGGCCCAAGGGCCAUGUCAUUAAGAUAAGAAUCUCGAGAUAAGAUCAUUCUGGUUUAGGGUAAGCCCUAAACCCAAUGCCAGGAGUCCUUAGAAGAGAAGAGAAGGGGAGAAGACACAGAGCCACGGGGAAGGAGGCCACGUGGAGACAGAGGCAGAGGUUAGAGUGAUGCAUCCAGCAGCCAGGCUUCCCCGCACCUGCCAGGAGCUGCAGAGAGCCCCGGAGAGAUUCCCACUCACAGCCGCAGAAGAAACCAGCCCUGCCGCCGUGAUGUAGGACUUCCGGCCUCCAGAACUGUGGGAGGACACAUUUCUGUUGUUUGAAGCCACCCAGUUUGGGGUCAUUUUUUAUGACACCCCUAGGAAACUAAUUCAGGAGGUUAAACUAAAUCAUUUCGAAGCCUCCUCAGAAAUCUCCAGGCUAUGGUUAGGAAGCGGGGUCCUGAAUGUGGAAUCCCUCUGAAGAACACAGCACACAUAUUCCCGUCUCCAUCGUCUCCCUUCUCUCUGGAAUCCGGGCCGGCCGAGAGGAAGCUGCCCUUCCCAGGCUGCUGCACCAGAGGACUGGGGGCCUGCCAGUGAAGCUUACAAGAGAAAUGGCUGUAGGAUGCAAAGAUAGUUAGCCUGGGAAAGAGGAGACGUCCAGGGCCGUGUCAACUCGGUGGCCCCUGACAACGACUGGUCUGAU
RNAcentral lists this long non-coding RNA (1236 nucleotides) under Homo sapiens (human). RNAcentral's name for it is "HSALNT0049594". The record is from RNAcentral. Lineage: Eukaryota; Metazoa; Chordata; Mammalia; Primates; Hominidae.